Molecule: ribosomal RNA, 449 nt
Filed under: uncultured bacterium
Lineage: Bacteria
Description: bacterial SSU rRNA
Rfam family: Bacterial small subunit ribosomal RNA
Source: RNAcentral
AGCGAACGCUGGCGGCAGGCUUAACACAUGCAAGUCGAGCGGGCGUAGCAAUACGUCAGCGGCAGACGGGUGAGUAACGCGUGGGAACAUACCUUUUGGUUCGGAACAACCCAGGGAAACUUGGGCUAAUACCGGAUAAGCCCUUACGGGGAAAGAUUUAUCGCCGAAGAUUGGCCCGCGUCUGAUUAGCUAGUUGGUGAGGUAACGGCUCACCAAGGCGACGAUCAGUAGCUGGCUGAGAGGAUGAUCAGCCACAUUGGGACUGAGACACGGCCCAAACUCCUACGGGAGGCAGCAGUGGGGAAUAUUGGACAAUGGGGGCAACCCUGAUCCAGCCAUGCCGCGUGAGUGAUGAAGGCCCUAGGGUUGUAAGCUCUUUUGUGCGGGAAGAUAAUGACGGUACCGCAAGAAUAAGCCCCGGCUAACUUCGUGCCAGCCGCCGCCGUAAC